GAUGAACGCUGGCGGCGUGCCUAAUACAUGCAAGUCGAGCGAACGGACGAGAAGCUUGCUUCUCUGAUGUUAGCGGCGGACGGGUGAGUAACACGUGGAUAACCUACCUAUAAGACUGGGAUAACUUCGGGAAACCGGAGCUAAUACCGGAUAAUAUUUUGAACCGCAUGGUUCAAAAGUGAAAGACGGUCUUGCUGUCACUUAUAGAUGGAUCCGCGCUGCAUUAGCUAGUUGGUAAGGUAACGGCUUACCAAGGCAACGAUGCAUAGCCGACCUGAGAGGGUGAUCGGCCACACUGGAACUGAGACACGGUCCAGACUCCUACGGGAGGCAGCAGUAGGGAAUCUUCCGCAAUGGGCGAAAGCCUGACGGAGCAACGCCGCGUGAGUGAUGAAGGUCUUCGGAUCGUAAAACUCUGUUAUUAGGGAAGAACAUAUGUGUAAGUAACUGUGCACAUCUUGACGGUACCUAAUCAGAAAGCCACGGCUAACUACGUGCCAGCAGCCGCGGUAAUACGUAGGUGGCAAGCGUUAUCCGGAAUUAUUGGGCGUAAAGCGCGCGUAGGCGGUUUUUUAAGUCUGAUGUGAAAGCCCACGGCUCAACCGUGGAGGGUCAUUGGAAACUGGAAAACUUGAGUGCAGAAGAGGAAAGUGGAAUUCCAUGUGUAGCGGUGAAAUGCGCAGAGAUAUGGAGGAACACCAGUGGCGAAGGCGACUUUCUGGUCUGUAACUGACGCUGAUGUGCGAAAGCGUGGGGAUCAAACAGGAUUAGAUACCCUGGUAGUCCACGCCGUAAACGAUGAGUGCUAAGUGUUAGGGAGUUUCCGCCCCUUAGUGCUGCAGCUAACGCAUUAAGCACUCCGCCUGGGGAGUACGACCGCAAGGUUGAAACUCAAAGGAAUUGACGGGGACCCGCACAAGCGGUGGAGCAUGUGGUUUAAUUCGAAGCAACGCGAAGAACCUUACCAAAUCUUGACAUCCUUUGACAACUCUAGAGAUAGAGCCUUCCCCUUCGGGGGGCAAAGUGACAGGUGGUGCAUGGUUGUCGUCAGCUCGUGUCGUGAGAUGUUGGGUUGAGUCCCGCAACGAGCGCAACCCUUAAGCUUAGUUGCCAUCAUUAAGUUGGGCACUCUAAGUUGACUGCCGGUGACAAACCGGAGGAAGGUGGGGAUGACGUCAAAUCAUCAUGCCCCUUAUGAUUUGGGCUACACACGUGCUACAAUGGACAAUACAAAGGGCAGCGAAACCGCGAGGUCAAGCAAAUCCCAUAAAGUUGUUCUCAGCUCGGAUUGUAGUCUGCAACUCGACUACAUGAAGCUGGAAUCGCUAGUAAUCGUAGAUCAGCAUGCUACGGUGAAUACGUUCCCGGGUCU
RNAcentral lists this ribosomal RNA (1372 nucleotides) under uncultured bacterium. Its description in RNAcentral is "bacterial SSU rRNA". It matches the Rfam family "Bacterial small subunit ribosomal RNA", at positions 28 to 1381 of the family's 1533-position model. The record is from RNAcentral.